UCCAUUACAACAUCUCAAAAAAGCUCUGUAUUUUAGAUCAGGCUGGAAUCGGGGGUGGAUGUUGUGCUUUUAUCUGUUUUCUCAGUUUUUCUCAGGUAAGGCUUGUAGAACGGAGCCCGAAUCUCUAGCCCCGCCCCCCUUUACCCAGCUAACAACCACUGAUCGAGUGUCGAGGGCUCCAAGCUACAUUCUCAUUCUCCGCCACGUGGAGAAGACUGCGACCGUCACGUGACUGUCCGUUCCUCAGGAGGAAUAAGCUCGCGGGACUCGGGAUAAGGCGGAGCUGGAUCUGUGUGCUGUGUUAAUCCUGUCUCCAAGGUUCCUCCUCAACAAGAGAGAAAUCCGCAGGGGAACCGUUUUGGGCCAAGGUUACCUGAAAGCAAUUAUCAGGGACAUCUAACUGUUGGACCAAGGCACAUUCAAAAUGCAUUUACCGCUGCUGGUAACUCUACAUCACCUACAUCACCUACAGCCUGGAGCAGAGAUACCAUUCAUUACAGUGCAUCAUAAUAAUAAUAACAACAACAUCAGCCUUCAGCUUUUUUUUUUAUAAUUUUAUUUCUAAUUUUUCACAUUUUUCUCCCCAAUUUACACGGCCAAUUACCCAACCCACUCAUUAGGACUCCCCCUAUCACUAGUGAUUACCGAGUAUCAUCACAGCGCUAACGCUCGGAGGAAAGCGCAGCGACUCGGUUCUGAUACCUCAGCUCACAGACGCCCUGUGCUGUGGACAUCACCCUAGGAGUGAUGUAGGGAGAGAGCGCCAUCUACCCACCCGGAGGGAGCAGGGCCAAUUGUGAUUCCUCUGAGCGCCGGCAGCUUGAUGGUAAAGCUGGAUGAGUGGGGGUUCAAACCUGCAACCUCCUGUUCAUAGUAGCAGCACUUUAGACCGCUGGACCA
Molecule: long non-coding RNA, 900 nt
Organism: Astyanax mexicanus (Mexican tetra)
Lineage: Eukaryota; Metazoa; Chordata; Actinopteri; Characiformes; Acestrorhamphidae
Exons: 2
Source: RefSeq, a predicted model, not a curated record